This 369-nucleotide ribosomal RNA is filed under the name uncultured bacterium. RNAcentral describes it as "bacterial SSU rRNA". It matches the Rfam family "Bacterial small subunit ribosomal RNA", at positions 527 to 896 of the family's 1533-position model. The record is from RNAcentral.
GUAGGGUGCAGGCGUUAAUCGGAAUUACUGGGCGUAAAGCGUGCGCAGGCGGCUCCUUAAGUCAGAUGUGAAAUCCCCGGGCUUAACCUGGGAACUGCGUUUGAAACUGGGGAGCUGGAGUGUGGAAGAGGGGGGUGGAAUUCCAGGUGUAGCAGUGAAAUGCGUAGAGAUCUGGAGGAACACCGAUGGCGAAGGCAGCCCCCUGGGCUAACACUGACGCUCAUGCACGAAAGCGUGGGGAGCAAACAGGAUUAGAUACCCUGGUAGUCCACGCCCUAAACGAUGUCAACUGGUUGUCGGGGAAGUAAUUCCUUGGUAACGAAGCUAACGCGUGAAGUUGACCGCCUGGGGAGUACGGCCGCAAGGCUA